CGUAUACGUAGGUGGCAAGCGUUGUCCGGAAUUAUUGGGCGUAAAGGGCUCGCAGGCGGUUUCUUAAGUCUGAUGUGAAAGCCCCCGGCUCAACCGGGGAGGGUCAUUGGAAACUGGGAAACUUGAGUGCAGAAGAGGAGAGUGGAAUUCCACGUGUAGCGGUGAAAUGCGUAGAGAUGUGGAGGAACACCAGUGGCGAAGGCGACUCUCUGGUCUGUAACUGACGCUGAGGAGCGAAAGCGUGGGGAGCGAACAGGAUUAGAUACCCUGGUAGUCCACGCCGUAAACGAUGAGUGCUAAGUGUUAGGGGGUUUCCGCCCCUUAGUGCUGCAGCUAACGCAUUAAGCACUCCGCCUGGGGAGUACGGUCGCAAGACUGAAACUCAAAGGAAUUGACGGGGGCCCGCACAAGCGGUGGAGCAUGUGGUUUAAUUCGAAGCAACGCGAAGAACCUUACCAGGUCUUGACAUCCUCUGACAACCCUAGAGAUAGGGCUUUCCCUUCGGGGACAGAGUGACAGGUGGUGCAUGGUUGUCGUCAGCUCGUGUCGUGAGAUGUUGGGUUAAGUCCCGCAACGAGCGCAACCCUUGAUCUUAGUUGCCAGCAUUUAGUUGGGCACUCUAAGGUGACUGCCGGUGACAAACCGGAGGAAGGUGGGGAUGACGUCAAAUCAUCAUGCCCCUUAUGACCUGGGCUACACACGUGCUACAAUGGACAGAACAAAGGGCUGCGAGACCGCAAGGUUUAGCCAAUCCCACAAAUCUGUUCUCAGUUCGGAUCGCAGUCUGCAACUCGACUGCGUGAAGCUGGAAUCGCUAGUAAUCGCGGAUCAGCUGCCGCGGA
Molecule: ribosomal RNA, 842 nt
Filed under: Bacillus sp. MAC17116
Lineage: Bacteria; Bacillati; Bacillota; Bacilli; Caryophanales; Bacillaceae
Description: bacterial SSU rRNA
Rfam family: Bacterial small subunit ribosomal RNA
Source: RNAcentral